AGUGAACGCUGGCGGUAGGCCUAACACAUGCAAGUCGAACGGCAGCACAGUAAGAGCUUGCUCUUACGGGUGGCGAGUGGCGGACGGGUGAGGAAUACAUCGGAAUCUACUUUUUCGUGGGGGAUAACGUAGGGAAACUUACGCUAAUACCGCAUACGACCUACGGGUGAAAGCAGGGGAUCUUCGGACCUUGCGCGAUUGAAUGAGCCGAUGUCGGAUUAGCUAGUUGGCGGGGUAAAGGCCCACCAAGGCGACGAUCCGUAGCUGGUCUGAGUGGAUGAUCGGCCACACGGGAACUGAGACACGGUCCAGACUCCUACGGGAGGCAGCAGUGGGGAAUAUUGGACAAUGGGCGCAAGCCUGAUCCAGCCAUACCGCGUGGGUGAAGAAGGCGUUCGGGUUGUAAAGCCCGUUUGUUGGGAAAGAAAAGCAGCAGGUUAAUACGCCGCUGUUCUGACGGUACCCGAAGAAUAAGCACCGGCUAACUUCGUG
This 492-nucleotide ribosomal RNA is filed under the name uncultured bacterium. RNAcentral describes it as "partial 16S ribosomal RNA". It matches the Rfam family "Bacterial small subunit ribosomal RNA", at positions 29 to 507 of the family's 1533-position model. The record is from RNAcentral.